GCUCUAGUACGGCGAGUGAAGCAGCAAUAGCUCAAAUUUGAAAUCUGGCGUCUUCGGCGUCCGAGUUGUAAUUUGUAGAGGAUGCUUCUGGGCAGCCACCGACCUAAGUUCCUUGGAACAGGACGUCAUAGAGGGUGAGAAUCCCGUAUGCGGUCGGAAAGGCACCCUACACGUAGCUCCUUCGACGAGUCGAGUUGUUUGGGAAUGCAGCUCUAAAUGGGAGGUAAAUUUCUUCUAAAGCUAAAUAUUGGCCAGAGACCGAUAGCGCACAAGUAGAGUGAUCGAAAGAUGAAAAGCACUUUGGAAAGAGAGUUAAAAAGCACGUGAAAUUGUUGAAAGGGAAGGGAUUGCAACCAGACUUGCUCGCGGUGUUCCGCCGGUCUUCUGACCGGUCUACUCGCCGCGUUGCAGGCCAGCAUCGUCUGGUGCCGCUGGAUAAGACUUGAGGAAUGUAGCUCCCUCGGGAGUGUUAUAGCCUCUUGUGAUGCAGCGAGCGCCGGGCGAGGUCCGCGCUUCGGCUAGGAUGCUGGCGUAAUGGUUGUAAUCCGC
Molecule: ribosomal RNA, 549 nt
Filed under: Cladosporium sphaerospermum
Lineage: Eukaryota; Fungi; Ascomycota; Dothideomycetes; Cladosporiales; Cladosporiaceae
Also listed under: 1 other name
Description: partial large subunit ribosomal RNA
Rfam family: Eukaryotic large subunit ribosomal RNA
Source: RNAcentral